Molecule: long non-coding RNA, 740 nt
Organism: Bubalus bubalis (water buffalo)
Lineage: Eukaryota; Metazoa; Chordata; Mammalia; Artiodactyla; Bovidae
Exons: 2
Source: RefSeq, a predicted model, not a curated record
GCUUUCUGGUUAGGCUGGUUCACAAUUGUUUUUUUUUUGCAUGUUUCUCUAUCUAACUUUAUUUAAUACAUGAUUUUCCAUCUUGCUUCACACAAAAACCCCAUCCCUAAAGCAUGCUCCGUAGAAGUGCAGUUGCCCAGAGGAGCAGCCAGUAAUGCUGAAAUCAUCUGUAAUGCAAAGGAAGAGGGCUUGUGGAAUUGGAGAGCCUGGCUGCAGCAGCUCCACGUGCUUCCCUCUUGUAGAGGGAAACAUGUUGGCAUUGUGCACCGGUGCCUGCUCUGUCAUUGUUUCAAUGUGGACUCUGAAAAACAGUUCUAAAAACAAAAACACAGAAACUCAAGCAGGUUAGACUUGCUGGUCAGUGAAAUUGCAAGAGUUCAAGAGGGAAGACAAUUGAUUUGAAGUUAACAGAAAGUUGGGGUCAUCCUCCUGUUUCCUCUUCAGCUUUACCAAUUUGACUGUGAUAGAAAAGAACGCCUGGUCCCCAGACACCCUUGACUAUGAAUCCAUGGAAAUCCAUGUUGGCUGUCAUCUCCUUUGUGACCAUCAACUCCAUCAUGUGAACUAGGGCUCUGUAUUUUAGUGAGGUCAAUUUUUCUGCACCUUUACCUGAGAACCUAACUCCUGAUUCCAGAAAUUGUAGCUUCCACAGAAAUGUAUCGGGAAUUUGAAAUAUAAGCUAUCGGUGGCAAAAGAAAGGGGGGUGGGCAUGAUCCCAUGUUAAUGCAACAAGAAUCUGC